ACUUAAGAAGGAUGUCGAGAGCCUAACCUAUUCCACACUGAAGAUUCGAUCCCUAGUGCCUGCAGGAGAUGCCUACCGGGGCAGAACUUCGAAGGUCUUAAUCCAAGAUGUCUUUGUCUGAGUGUUCUCUUUAAAUCCAGCUAAUCUUUCAACAACGGAUCUCUUGGUUCUGGCAUCGAUGAAGAACGCAGCGAAAUGCGAUAAGUAAUGCGAAUUGCAGAAUUCUCGUGAGUCAUCGAAUCUUUGAACGCACAUUGCGCCCUUUGGUAUUCCGAAGGGCAUGCCUGUUCGAGCGUCAUUUUCACCCCUCAAGCCCCCGGCUUGGUGUUGGACGGUCUGGUCCGGGGACCUCAAACCCCCUGGACCCCUCCCAAAGACAAUGACGGCGGGCUGUUGAACCCCCGGUACACUGGAGCAUCUUCACGGAGCACGUACCGGUCUCAAGGGUCGACGGCACCCGGUCUAUACCUAUAUUUUUCAAGGUUGACCUCGGAUCAGGUAGGAAUACCCGCUGAACUUAAGCAUAUCAUAGGAGAAAAGUCAUAAAUGCACCAGAUUCUGGUCACUGCGGG
RNAcentral lists this ribosomal RNA (572 nucleotides) under Exophiala sp. 04100405B. RNAcentral describes it as "eukaryotic LSU rRNA". The stretch from base 144 to 298 matches the Rfam family "5.8S ribosomal RNA". The record is from RNAcentral. Lineage: Eukaryota; Fungi; Ascomycota; Eurotiomycetes; Chaetothyriales; Herpotrichiellaceae.